This 254-nucleotide ribosomal RNA is filed under the name uncultured bacterium. Its description in RNAcentral is "partial 16S ribosomal RNA". It matches the Rfam family "Bacterial small subunit ribosomal RNA", at positions 524 to 776 of the family's 1533-position model. The record is from RNAcentral.
UACGUAGGGCGCAAGCGUUGUCCGGAAUUAUUGGGCGUAAAGAGCUCGUAGGCGGCUUGUCACGUCGGAUGUGAAAGCCCGGGGCUUAACCCCGGGUCUGCAUUCGAUACGGGUUAGCUAGAGUGUGGUAGGGGAGAUCGGAAUUCCUGGUGUAGCGGUGAAAUGCGUAGAUAUCUGGAGGAACACCGGUGGCGAAGGCGGCAUCCUGGACCAACACUGACGCUGAGUGAGCGAAAGCCAGGGGAGCAAACGGG